RNAcentral lists this unclassified non-coding RNA (247 nucleotides) under Hevea brasiliensis (rubber tree). Lineage: Eukaryota; Viridiplantae; Streptophyta; Magnoliopsida; Malpighiales; Euphorbiaceae. The record is from RNAcentral.
GAAAACUUGAUACCCGAUUUUGAUUUUGACCAGUUAAUUACGAGUAGGUUGAUGAAACCUACUGGGAAAGCUGAUGCGACGGUUGUGGUUAUGGUGGUUGAUUGUGUUGAUUUUGAUGGUUCCUUUCCAAAGCGAGCUGCUAAAUCUUUGUUUAAGGCACUAGAACAAAGCCAAGAUGGCUUGAAACAAAGUAAGAAGUUGCCAAAGCUUGUUCUUGUGGCUACAAAGGUUGACCUCCUCCCAUCAC